RNAcentral lists this ribosomal RNA (484 nucleotides) under uncultured bacterium. Its description in RNAcentral is "partial 16S ribosomal RNA". It matches the Rfam family "Bacterial small subunit ribosomal RNA", at positions 30 to 507 of the family's 1533-position model. The record is from RNAcentral.
AUUGAACGCUGGCGGCAGGCCUAACACAUGCAAGUCGAGCGGAUGAAGGGAGCUUGCUCCUGGAUUCAGCGGCGGACGGGUGAGUAAUGCCUAGGAAUCUGCCUGGUAGUGGGGGAUAACGUCCGGAAACGGGCGCUAAUACCGCAUACGUCCUGAGGGAGAAAGUGGGGGAUCUUCGGACCUCACGCUAUCAGAUGAGCAUAGGUCGGAUUAGCUAGUUGGUGGGGUAAAGGCCUACCAAGGCGACGAUCCGUAACUGGUCUGAGAGGAUGAUCAGUCACACUGGAACUGAGACACGGUCCAGACUCCUACGGGAGGCAGAAGUGGGGAAUAUUGGACAAUGGGCGAAAGCCUGAUCCAGCCAUGCCGCGUGUGUGAAGAAGGUCUUCGGAUUGUAAAGCACUUUAAGUUGGGAGGAAGGGCAGUAAGUUAAUACCUUGCUGUUUUGACGUUACCAACAGAAUAAGCACCGGCUAACUUCGUG